Oncorhynchus tshawytscha (Chinook salmon) is the source of this 452-nucleotide long non-coding RNA. The record is from Ensembl. NCBI's taxonomy places the organism in Eukaryota, Metazoa, Chordata, Actinopteri, Salmoniformes, Salmonidae.
AGGAGAGAGGGAGAUAGAGAGGAGGAGGAAUCAGGAUAGAGGGAGAUAGAGAGGAGGAGGAAUCAUGAUAGAGAGAUGGAGAGGAGGACGAAUCAGGAGAGAGAUAGAGAGGAGGAGGAAUCAGGAGAGAGAUAGAGAGGAGGAGGAAUCAGGAGAGAGAGAUAGAGAGGAGGAGGAAUCAGGAGAGAGAGAUAGAGAGGAGGAGGAAUCAGGAGAGAGAGAUAGAGAGGAGGAGGAAUCAGGAGAGAGAGAUAGAGGAGUAGGAAUCAGGAGAGAGAUAGAGAGGAGGAGGAAUCAGGAGAGAGAGAUAGAGGAGUAGGAAUCAGGAGAGAGAUAGAGAGGAGGAGGAAUCAGGAGAGAGAGAUAGAGAAGAGGAGGAAUCAGGAGAGAGAGAGAUAGAGAGGAGGAGGAAUCAGGACAGAGAGAUAGAGAUGAGGAGGAAUCAGGAGAGA